CGAAAGUCUUGAUGCAAUUUUA
RNAcentral lists this microRNA (22 nucleotides) under Sarcophilus harrisii (Tasmanian devil). RNAcentral's name for it is "Sha-Mir-7262-P5_5p* (star (passenger))". Lineage: Eukaryota; Metazoa; Chordata; Mammalia; Dasyuromorphia; Dasyuridae. The record is from RNAcentral.